This 460-nucleotide ribosomal RNA is filed under the name uncultured bacterium. RNAcentral's name for it is "partial 16S ribosomal RNA". It matches the Rfam family "Bacterial small subunit ribosomal RNA", at positions 338 to 795 of the family's 1533-position model. The record is from RNAcentral.
CCUACGGGUGGCAGCAGUGAGGAAUAUUGGUCAAUGGGCGCUAGCCUGAACCAGCCAAGUAGCGUGAAGGAUGACUGCCCUAUGGGUUGUAAACUUCUUUUAUAUGGGAAUAAAGUGCAGUAUGUAUACUGCUUUGCAUGUACCUUAUGAAUAAGGAUCGGCUAACUCCGUGCCAGCAGCCGCGGUAAUACGGAGGAUCCGAGCGUUAUCCGGAUUUAUUGGGUUUAAAGGGAGCGUAGGCGGGUUGUUAAGUCAGUUGUGAAAGUUUGCGGCUCAACCCGGGCCUUGCAGCGCGAACUGGCGUGCUUGAGUCCGCGGAAAGCAGGCGGAAUUCGUCGUGUAGCGGUGAAAUGCUUAGAUAUGACGAAGAACCCCGAUUGCGAAGGCAGCUUGCUGCAGCGGAACUGACGCUGAUGCUCGAAAGCGCGGGUAUCGAACAGGAUUAGAUACCCCUGUAGUC